RNAcentral lists this ribosomal RNA (377 nucleotides) under uncultured cyanobacterium. RNAcentral's name for it is "bacterial SSU rRNA". It matches the Rfam family "Bacterial small subunit ribosomal RNA", at positions 376 to 770 of the family's 1533-position model. The record is from RNAcentral. Lineage: Bacteria; Bacillati; Cyanobacteriota.
CGCAAGCCUGACGGGGCAAGACCGCGUGCGGGAUGACGGCCUAAUGGUUGUAAACCGCUUUUCUCUGGGAAGAUGAUGACGGUACCAGAGGAAUCAGCCUCGGCUAACUCCGUGCCAGCAGCCGCGGUAAGACGGAGGAUGCAAGCGUUAUCCGGAAUUAUUGGGCGUAAAGCGUCCGUAGGUGGUUAUUCAAGUCUGCUGUCAAAGCGUGGGGCUUAACUCCAUAGAGGCAGUGGAAACUGAGUGACUAGAGUGCGGUAGGGGUCGAGGGAAUUCCCAGUGUAGCGGUGAAAUGCGUAGAUAUUGGGAAGAACACCAGUGGCGAAAGCGCUCGACUGGGCCUGCAUUGACACUGAGGGACGAAAGCUAGGGGAGCG